GGGUCCGUAGCUCAGCGGUAGAGCAAUUGAUUGCAGGUCAAUCGGUCACAGGUUCGAUUCCUGUCGUGCCCU
RNAcentral lists this transfer RNA (72 nucleotides) under Encephalitozoon cuniculi. Its description in RNAcentral is "tRNA-Cys". It matches the Rfam family "tRNA". From Rfam's summary of the family: Transfer RNA (tRNA) molecules are approximately 80 nucleotides in length. Lineage: Eukaryota; Fungi; Microsporidia; Unikaryonidae. The record is from RNAcentral.